GGGGUAUAACAUAGUGAUGAAGGAUUGACGGUGAAUCAUCUAGUUUAGUUACUGCAGUCUUCAUCCAGACAACAGCCUUUGUGACUUGUGACUUCACUGAGACAGCAGUGAUAGUCCCUGUUGACAUCCAGGAUGAUGAUCGUCUGUCUCCUGCUCGUAUCAUACUUGCUUUUGAUGGCGGUAUCGUCAGCUGCUCCUGUUUCAUCUGCAACAUUUAACCUCACGGCCAUAAAACAGUCGGAGGAGCUGGAGGAGGGCCUGCUGACCCAACUGUUCAAUCUUGAGGGCGAGCUGGAGACACUGGAGGAAGAGGUUCUCACCAAGCUGGAGGCUAACGACGUCGGCGACACCCAGAGAACAGCAGGCAAGAUCAGAGAGGAGAAAAAGAACGACGACAACGAAAAACAGAGUCUGAGUGGCAGACACAACGUUCUUUGUCUUCGCUGUACCAUAGCCAGCGACGAGCCACUCGAUUGAAAAACAUCUUAAUGUGACAAGAUGAUCGAGUGAGACCAGUGACGUUGACAGCAAUGGCUACCGACGGAUGUUUCCAAAAAGGGAUCUUAGAGCAUGCAAGCUGACAAGAUCAGUAAAUUUUUGUUGAACAUUGCUAGUAUUGUGUGUUUGGAAAAGGAUAUUGUUGAAAAAAUGCAAAGUUUGCCUCAACAUUGUUAGAAGUCCUGACCUCACUUGCUGCGAGCAUUUCAACGAGACUUUUUUUGUCUUUUGCUGCAAGCUCAAUGUCACGUGACCAACAACAGUUGUUUUAUACGAGCUUAUGCACACACACACAUACGCACACAUAUACAAGUACUCACUAGCAUUUAACCCUGCAGUUAAGAACUUACACACACACACACACACACUGAAAAAGAAUAGGACAUGGGUGAACUCCGACAAAGAGAAUGUUUUUCUUUUCUUUAUUACUUGUCCUGACAAAAUACAUGAACGUGAUUAUGACAAGAGGACAGUGGGGCUAAUAACAUGACAGUGUCCUAACAUGUGUAACCAUGGUAAAUAAUGACACUAACCCUGUGCUUGAGAUUCGCUAGACUAAUCCAAUCCACUGUAGGUUAAGGUAAGACACUUUGAUUUGCAAAACAUUUUAAAAAAUAGUCAAGAAAUUGUUAUGAGGUUUUGCUCGGUUCCAAACCCAUAUUGUAAGUUAAAGAGGGGUGAAUGUUUUUGUUGCAAGAAGGCUCAACUAGUCAAAAAAUUUAUAUGUACAGUGACUUUUCAUCAUGAUUCACAUUUCUAUGAACAUCCUCUGGAAAAAAUUCCAUUUUAUGUGUGAUAAUUUUUUUUAUGAUAAAUUGUGUAUUUAUUUGAACAAUAGAUGUAUAUGGAUUUGUCUCAAGUUGAUUUCUUUUUUGAUGUUAGGUUUAAUUAAAACACAAUAGUCUUAAUUUUUUGAAUAUAAUUCAAUAAUUUAAAAAAGCAUUUAAAAUGAAAGUGAUUUAUGGCACUGUCGAGAAACUUAACAUUGUCUUAAGACGUGGAGAAGCACGAAAAUAACAAAUAUGAAAACAUUUUUUAAAUGAGGGAGGUAAGUCAUGCAAUGCUGAUUGUUUAUGCCGGACUAAUAAAUUCCUUUAAAACGCACAAAUAGAUUACUCAUUGUAUAAGCAAUAACAGAAAUUAUAACAUUGUUGAAACAGAAAUAAAAAUAAAGAAAAAAAUAUGAGAGAAAAGUAUACACAUAUAAGCGGUAGACAGACAUGAGACCAAAAUAAUUUAAAAUCAAGAACAAUAAAAAGGCUCCACUAUGCUUUUUUUUUUUUUUUUUUUUUAAAAAAAAAAAAAAAGAAGAUUCUAAGUGUUUUAAGUAGAAAACUCAUGCUGCCUGCUACCCGGUAGUGUAGUGGUUAAAUCCCUCGCUUGCCACCACUUCAAAGACCAUAAAUUCAUCUGUUGGCAGGUCUGGUCUUCAAAUGUUUUUGACGAGUAUCCCGGGUUCCAUCCCCUCCCCACUCUUAGUGCAAAAUCUCAAAGUGGAAACGCUUUUCGCGCCAGAGUAACCACCCUGUCUGCUGGACAUUGUAAGUACCGGGGAAAAAAUAAUUAAUUUGUUCUUAUGCAAUCAAAUACUCAAACUAUGUCACUCAUUGACACAUUUGCUUAAAGUCUUCAGCUGUACACUCUAAGUACAAACAGUUCAAUCAGUUCACUUUGUGACUUUUAUCUUAGAUAGGUGUUAUACUAGCUAUGUUAUACUAAAGCUGCAGGCUAUGAACAUGAGGUCUGUAGUCAUUCCCAACAUCAGUAGGUAUUGUCUAUAAGUCUAGUCGCACAAUGAAGGUCUCCUAAGUGUAGAUUCUGAAUUCGGAAAAAUAGAAGAUAAAAAUAUCAAAA
This 2352-nucleotide long non-coding RNA is filed under the name Pomacea canaliculata. Its description in RNAcentral is "uncharacterized LOC112562143". Lineage: Eukaryota; Metazoa; Mollusca; Gastropoda; Architaenioglossa; Ampullariidae. The record is from RNAcentral.